RNA transcript from Mytilus trossulus (common blue mussel), 755 nucleotides. It is a transcript of the gene named ctenidin-1-like, with no coding region annotated. The record is from RefSeq and is a predicted model, not a curated record. The transcript has 5 exons. NCBI's taxonomy places the organism in Eukaryota, Metazoa, Mollusca, Bivalvia, Mytilida, Mytilidae.
UUUUUAAGCCAUUUGAUUGGUUGUUGAGAUAGAUAUCUGCAUAUAUAUAAGUGACGGCUAGUAUCUGGAUUACUGUGUGCAAACUACCACUUACCGCAGCUCCAUCUCUGUACGAACGACAAUGAAAACGGAGAUACAAUUGUGUGUAUGCGUUGCCCUGGCGGCAGUAUGCAUAGCCGGCGUAAGAUCUGCAGGUAAUUAUGGCGGAGGAAGUUAUGGAAGAGGUGUGUAUGGACGUAGUGCAUCAUACGGCGGUGGUGGAUACAACAGAGGAUACAGCAAAGGAUACGGUGGUGGUGGAUACAGCAAAGGAUAUGGCGGAGGUGGUUACGGAAAAGGCUAUGGUACAUCUAGGCGCCAGGGCGGUACCUUGUAUUACCCCUAUUACUACCCAGUACCAUACUUUGUAGGCGGAAGACGACGGGGAGGAGGAAGAGUGAGAGUUACCCCAGCCAUACUUGCAAGAACAGGAGGAAGACGUAGGGGAGGAGGUGUCGGAGGAGGAGGUGGUCUUCUCGGAGGUGGUGGAGGCGGAUUCGGAGGCAUUUUUAGUUUGAUCAUUUAGCAGAUGUCAGUCACGCUUUUCUUCCUUCAAUUUAUUCUUGGUCUCAUCGGAUAGACUGUAUGAAUCAGCCAGAAAUAAAUCUAAGGGAAGAAACCAUGGUAUUAAUAUAUUAGGAGCACACAAAGCACAGUCGUUGGGUACACACCAUGUAAUACUGAUACAAUUUUGUAAAUAAAAAUGCAGACCCGAA